Molecule: ribosomal RNA, 249 nt
Filed under: uncultured Lautropia sp.
Lineage: Bacteria; Pseudomonadati; Pseudomonadota; Betaproteobacteria; Burkholderiales; Burkholderiaceae
Description: partial 16S ribosomal RNA
Rfam family: Bacterial small subunit ribosomal RNA
Source: RNAcentral
UGGGGAAUAUUGCACAAUGGGCGAAAGCCUGAUGCAGCAACGCCGCGUGUGUGAUGAAGGCCUUCGGGUUGUAAAGCACUUUUGGCGGGAACGAAAAGGACUGUGCCAAUACCACGGUUCGAUGACGGUACCCGCAGAAUAAGCACCGGCUAACUUCGUGCCAGCAGCCGCGGUAAUACGAAGGGUGCAAGCGUUAUCCGGAAUUAUUGGGCGUAAAGCGUCCGUAGGGGGUUGUUCAAGUCUGCUGUU